Molecule: non-coding RNA, 135 nt
Organism: Triticum aestivum (bread wheat)
Lineage: Eukaryota; Viridiplantae; Streptophyta; Magnoliopsida; Poales; Poaceae
Source: Rfam
CUUAUACUCCCUCCGUCCAGAAAUACUUGUCAUCAAAAUGAAUUAAAGGGAAUGUAUCUAGACGUAUUUUAGUUCUAGAUACACCCCUUUUUAUCCAUUUUGGUGACCUGUAUUUUUGGACAGAGGGAGUACUAU